CACUGGGAGAAACAGAUGGUGAGCUGACCACCUUGGAAUUCAUAGCGCUUAAAACCUCUAAUUUCCAGUGGACCAGUAACAUGGUAAAAAAGCACGGGUUGUUCGUUCUAUCAGUUUCUAUCGAUACAGAACGAUAGAAAGUUCUUUUUCGUGAGUUUCCUAAUCUAUUGUGCAUGGUGGCAGAGCACGUGGCGUAUGUGUCAUCACGAUCGACGGUGACUUGCGACACCUGGCAACGUCAGGAAAUGGAAACCUCGCCGCAGACCGUACACUUUCCUAUCCUCGUUUCAGCGUUCGCACGCUUACGAAUCAGAAAUAAUUGAAAAGUUUUAGACGCCUGAUACAACAGCUCGAAAAGCGUUCUACUAAUUAAUAUAAAAUCGUGUUUCGUAGACGCUGCCACCGCCAAAAUACGCAGAGCCCGCGUCGCGCAUGUUGAUCACCAGACGGAGAAAACAAUUCGUUGUCGCCUGAAAUUUCACCUGUAUUGGUCGUCGAAGCAUGGUGGUGCCCCACCCAGAGAGAUUUACUACGCCCGAAGAAAAUUCUUAAUCGGGAAAGAUUUUUGUCGAGGAAACACUUCGGAGCGAAGAAACGAGAAAGUGGAAGAAGUCUGUACUUGCCGAUGACGUAAAACGGACCGAGCGGCUCAGCAUUUACGAGACCUUUGCCGCGUCUGAUUCGAGUACAAAUUCGAAUGAAAAGUGUCUUGGGUACCUCGUGACGUACAGUAAAAUGAAAUGACAGAAAGAAGACAGUACGUUAAAAAAGUGCUGGCUGUUAGUACAGGUGUUUCUUGCAGAGCCAAUGAUAUAUUACAAGUAGUUCUCGAAAAAUUGUCGCGCAUAGUGAUAUUAUAGAGCCGUUAAUAUGCGCACAACAGAGGUGUAAUGUCUAGCUACAUAGAUGUUUCAUGUAGGUCAACCAGGAGAAUGAGUUACAAAAGGCAAAACUCGCUUCGAUCGACUGCCUCCACAACGAGUCCUGUUUCUUACGUUGCGCGACCAGUCUCGUUCACCUUAAAUUUAAUCGAAUAGAAUACAAAACUGAAUCGCGCAGAACACACGUACUUUUAAUACGAAAUUCCUUGGA
Molecule: long non-coding RNA, 1092 nt
Organism: Bombus terrestris (buff-tailed bumblebee)
Lineage: Eukaryota; Metazoa; Arthropoda; Insecta; Hymenoptera; Apidae
Exons: 3
Source: RefSeq, a predicted model, not a curated record